AAAAAUAGGCUAAUGACCAAGUCAUUUUUCCACCCAACUUGCACAAACCUCCACCAAACUAAUUGAUACCACAAUAUAACAUUUAUAAGCAUUCAUCUAAUCUCAUCCAAACAUAAAUCAUACCAUUUUAAUACCAAAAACAUCAAGGCAAACAUAAACCACCAUAUGCCAAUCAAUUUCAUACCAAAACUCAAAAUCUCAAAUAAUCAACAUGGGCACAUCCAAAUAUGCAUUAUUUUACCUAUAAUCCCAAG
RNAcentral lists this long non-coding RNA (254 nucleotides) under Gossypium barbadense (sea-island cotton). RNAcentral describes it as "long non-coding RNA (GBAR_LNC001375)". Lineage: Eukaryota; Viridiplantae; Streptophyta; Magnoliopsida; Malvales; Malvaceae. The record is from RNAcentral.